Molecule: ribosomal RNA, 465 nt
Filed under: uncultured Lysobacterales bacterium
Lineage: Bacteria; Pseudomonadati; Pseudomonadota; Gammaproteobacteria; Lysobacterales
Description: bacterial SSU rRNA
Rfam family: Bacterial small subunit ribosomal RNA
Source: RNAcentral
CCUACGGGGGGCUGCAGUGGGGAAUAUUGGACAAUGGGCGCAAGCCUGAUCCAGCGACGCCGCGUGUGUGAAGAAGGCCUGCGGGUUGUAAAGCACUUUUAGUGGGGAGGAAACGCACAGACCCAACACGUCUGUGAACUGACUUAACCCAAAGAAAAAGCACCGGCUAACUCUGUGCCAGCAGCCGCGGUAAUACAGAGGGUGCAAGCGUUAAUCGGAAUUACUGGGCGUAAAGCGAACGUAGGCGGUUAUCUAAGUCGGAUGUGAAAUCCCCGGGCUCAACCUGGGAAUUGCAUUCGAGACUGAAUAGCUAGAAUGCGGAAGAGGGAAGCGGAAUUUCCGGUGUAGCGGUGAAAUGCGUAGAUAUCGGAAGGAACAUCAGUGGCGAAAGCGGCUUCCUGGUCCAGCAUUGACGCUCAGGUUCGAAAGCGUGGGGAGCAAACAGGAUUAGAUACCCGUGUAGUC